CCUACGGGAGGCAGCAGUGGGGAAUAUUGCACAAUGGGGGGAACCCUGAUGCAGCGACGCCGCGUGAGUGAAGAAGUAUCUCGGUACGUAAAGCUCUAUCAGCAGGGGAGAAAAUGACGGUACCUGACUAAGAAGCCCCGGCUAACUACGUGCCAGAAGCCGCGGGAAUACGUAGGGGGCAAGCGUUAUCCGGAUGUACUGGGUGUAAAGGGGGCGUAGACGGCACUGCAAGUCCGGAGUGAAAGCCCAAGGCUUAACCAUGGGACUGCUCUGGAAACUGUGGAGCUUGAGUGCGGGAGGGGUAGGCGGAAUGCGUAGUGUAGCGGUGAAAUGCGUAGAUAUUAGGAGGAACACCGGGGGCGAAGGCGGCCUGCUGGACCGUAACUGACGUUGAGGCUCGAAAGCGUGGGGAGCAAACAGGAUUAGAUACCCCGGUAGUC
RNAcentral lists this ribosomal RNA (440 nucleotides) under uncultured bacterium. RNAcentral's name for it is "partial 16S ribosomal RNA". It matches the Rfam family "Bacterial small subunit ribosomal RNA", at positions 338 to 795 of the family's 1533-position model. The record is from RNAcentral.